UAGAAGAAUUUUUCUCGCACUCCAAACAAUUUGAUUGCAGCGAGAGUGGGCGACGUGGGAUUGACCAAUUCCCGCAGGAGGGUGGGUAGGAACAUGCGGUAGGAUUGGCCAACCCUAUCCACCAAUCCCCCGUACACCUCGACCCUCGCAUCCCUCCUCCCCUGCUUGCUUGCCCCGCGUGCGGUCGCCGCCUCUCCACGGUGAUGAGCGGCAAGGCCUCGUUCACAAGUGGAGCGUAUGGGCCGUUGCAGCCACCGCCGAGAGGGGCUGCCUCCUCUCCUCCUCACCUCCAGCGGCUGGCGCGGUGUAGGGAGCACCGAGCGGCGCCAAGCACGGCCAAUGGCCUUGACGCGUAUGGUAGCGGCGGCGGCUAGGACGUUGGCCCUCAGCAAUUUCGAGUCCGAGUCAAGGAAAUAACACAAGAGACUGGUUGUUGCUCACAAAAAGAAGAAAAAAGUUGAUGUACUGUAUUAUUGCUGACAUUUAUGUUGAACAAAAGCCAUGCUAAGAUAUUUAUAACCGCAGGAAAUUUCUAUCUU
This is a long non-coding RNA of Triticum urartu, 539 nucleotides long. RefSeq lists it as uncharacterized. The record is from RefSeq and is a predicted model, not a curated record. Lineage: Eukaryota; Viridiplantae; Streptophyta; Magnoliopsida; Poales; Poaceae.